RNAcentral lists this ribosomal RNA (253 nucleotides) under uncultured bacterium. Its description in RNAcentral is "partial 16S ribosomal RNA". It matches the Rfam family "Bacterial small subunit ribosomal RNA", at positions 524 to 776 of the family's 1533-position model. The record is from RNAcentral.
UACGGGGGGGGCAAGCGUUGUUCGGAAUUACUGGGCGUAAAGGGCUCGUAGGUGGCCAACUAAGUCAGACGUGAAAUCCCUCGGCUUAACCGGGGAACUGCGUCUGAUACUGGAUGGCUUGAGUUCGGGAGAGGGAUGCGGAAUUCCAGGUGUAGCGGUGAAAUGCGUAGAUAUCUGGAGGAACACCGGUGGCGAAGGCGGCAUCCUGGACCGACACUGACACUGAGGAGCGAAAGCCAGGGGAGCACACGGG